This 278-nucleotide unclassified non-coding RNA is filed under the name air metagenome. RNAcentral's name for it is "partial contains small subunit ribosomal RNA, internal transcribed spacer 1, and 5.8S ribosomal RNA". The stretch from base 1 to 46 matches the Rfam family "Eukaryotic small subunit ribosomal RNA", at positions 1786 to 1831 of the family's 1831-position model. The record is from RNAcentral.
AAGUCGUAACAAGGUUUCCGUAGGUGAACCUGCGGAAGGAUCAUUAUUGAAUUGCAUGAGGUAUUGAUGCUGGCUUCGAAAGGAGCAUGUGCUCGGCCUUUAUCCAAUCAACCACUGUGCACUUAUUUCGUGAGGAUGUGAUCUCCCCGUUUGCGCGGGAGCAGCUGCUUGAGAGGGCGGCCGGGGUUGUGUCUUCAUCGAACUUACAAACAACUGUAUUGUCUUGUGAAUGUAAAAAUUAAUAAAUACAACUUUCAACAACGGAUCUCUUGGCUCUC